RNAcentral lists this ribosomal RNA (492 nucleotides) under uncultured bacterium. RNAcentral describes it as "partial 16S ribosomal RNA". It matches the Rfam family "Bacterial small subunit ribosomal RNA", at positions 29 to 507 of the family's 1533-position model. The record is from RNAcentral.
AGUGAACGCUGGCGGUAGGCCUAACACAUGCAAGUCGAACGGCAGCACAGUAAGAGCUUGCUCUUACGGGUGGCGAGUGGCGGACGGGUGAGGAAUACAUCGGAAUCUACUUUUUCGUGGGGGAUAACGUAGGGAAACUUACGCUAAUACCUCAUACGACCUACGGGUGAAAGCAGGGGAUCUUCGGACCUUGCGCGAUUGAAUUAGCCGAUGUCGGAUUAGCUAGUUGGCGGGGUAAAGGCCCACCAAGGCGACGAUCCGUAGCUGGUCUGAGAGGAUGAUCAGCCACACUGGAAAUGAGACACGGUCCAGACUCCUACGGGAGGCAGCAGUGGGGAAUAUUGGACAAUGGGCGCAAGCCUGAUCCAGCCAUACCGCGUGGGUGAAGAGGGCCUUCGGGUUGUAAAGCCCUUUUGUUGGGAAAGAAAAGCAGCAGGUUAAUACCCCGCUGUUCUGACGGUACCCAAAGAAUAAGCACCGGCUAACUUCGUG